AAAACCUAUAAUAUAACCAAUGAGCUUUUUACCUUAAAAGUAUUAGAGUCCUUUUAACAAAAAAUGUGAGAUUUUGAAUUCAAAUAUCAAUCGAUUGUAUAAAAAAGAAAAAUAAAAUAAUAUAAUUUGAGAAUUCUUUGGAUAGUAGGAAAUGCAACAAUUAUUGAUAAGAAAUAGAAUAUGCAAUUAAUUUUUGCAGGACACAUUAUAUUUGGAAGAGA
Molecule: unclassified non-coding RNA, 221 nt
Filed under: Hevea brasiliensis (rubber tree)
Lineage: Eukaryota; Viridiplantae; Streptophyta; Magnoliopsida; Malpighiales; Euphorbiaceae
Source: RNAcentral